RNAcentral lists this ribosomal RNA (800 nucleotides) under Halomonhystera disjuncta. Its description in RNAcentral is "SSU rRNA". It matches the Rfam family "Eukaryotic small subunit ribosomal RNA", at positions 107 to 935 of the family's 1831-position model. Lineage: Eukaryota; Metazoa; Nematoda; Chromadorea; Monhysterida; Monhysteridae. The record is from RNAcentral.
UAGCCGUUGUUUCUUGGAUCCUCAAUUUACUUGGAUACCUGUGGUAAUUCUAGAGCUAAUACAUGCGACUAAGGGCCGAACUCACGUGACGCUUGCAUUUAUUAGAUCAAGACUAACCGGCUUCGGCCGUUAACUUGGUGACUCUGAAUAACUCAGCUGAUCGCACGGUCUAGUGCCGGCGACAUAUCUUUCAAGUGUCUACCUUAUCAACUGUCGAUGGUAGUUUAUGUGACUACCAUGGUUGUAACGGGUAACGGAGAAUCAGGGUUUGACUCCGGAGAGGGAGCCUGAGAAACGGCUACCACUUCUAAGGAAGGCAGCAGGCGCGCAAAUUACACAAUCUCAGCACGAGGAUGUAGUGACGAAACAUACCGAGGCGAUGCCCUUUCGGGUGUCGUCAUUGGAAUGAGUCGAAUCUAAAAAAUUCGGCAAGGAUCUAGUGGAGGGCAAGUCUGGUGCCAGCAGCCGCGGUAAUUCCAGCUCCGCAAGUGUAUAUCUAUGCUGUUGCGGUUAAAAGCUCGUAGUUUGAUUCGCGUACUUAGCACGCAGUGUGGCCUUUCGGCUACUACUGUGAUGCGGNNAUUAUCGUCAGUUUGUCGUUGAUGCUCUUCAUUGGGUGUCAGCGGCGGCUGUCANGUUNCUUUGAANAAUUAANGUGCUCAUACAGGCGUUUGCUUGUAUAGUUCUGCAUGGAANNUAGAUAGGACUUACGUUCUAUUGUGUUGGUUUCAGAACUGAUUAGAGGGACAGACGGGUCAUUCUACUGCCCGUUAGAGGUGAAAUCUUGGAUCGUGGCAGAC